RNAcentral lists this ribosomal RNA (492 nucleotides) under uncultured bacterium. Its description in RNAcentral is "partial 16S ribosomal RNA". It matches the Rfam family "Bacterial small subunit ribosomal RNA", at positions 29 to 507 of the family's 1533-position model. The record is from RNAcentral.
AGUGAACGCUGGCGGUAGGCCUAACACAUGCAAGUCGAACGGCAGCACAGUAAGAGCUUGCUCUUACGGGUGGCGAGUGGCGGGCGGGUGAGGAAUACAUCGGAAUCUACUUUUUCGUGGGGGAUAACGUAGGGAAACUUACGCUAAUACCGCAUACGACCUACGGGUGAAAGCAGGGGAUCUUCGGACCUUGCGCGAUUGAAUGAGCCGAUGUCGGAUUAGCUAGUUGGCGGGGUAAAGGCCCACCAAGGCGACGAUCCGUAGCUGGUCUGAGAGGAUGAUCAGCCACACUGGAACUGAGACACGGUCCAGACUCCUACGGGAGGCAGCAGUGGGGAAUAUUGGACAAUGGGCGCAAGCCUGAUCCAGCCAUACCGCGUGGGUGAAGAAGGCCUUCGGGUUGUAAAGCCCUUUUGUUGGGAAAGAAAAGCAGCAGGUUAAUACCCCGCUGUCCUGACGGUACCCAAAGAAUAAGCACCGGCUAACUUCGUG